This 770-nucleotide long non-coding RNA is filed under the name Jatropha curcas. RNAcentral describes it as "long non-coding RNA (JCUR_LNC002884)". Lineage: Eukaryota; Viridiplantae; Streptophyta; Magnoliopsida; Malpighiales; Euphorbiaceae. The record is from RNAcentral.
GUCCCAGGGAUGAUCCAAAGGCACGCGCAAAGAUUUUAUCGGAGGAAUUUGGUUGGGAUAAGGACCUUGCAAAGAAGAUAUGGUGUUUUGGUCCUGAGACUACUGGACCAAACAUGGUGGUUGAUAUGUGUAAAGGAGUGCAGUACCUGAAUGAAAUUAAGGACUCUGUUGUUGCUGGGUUCCAAUGGGCAUCAAAGGAAGGAGCACUGGCUGAAGAAAACAUGAGAGGUAUCUGCUUUGAAGUCUGUGAUGUGGUGCUCCACACUGAUGCUAUUCAUAGAGGUGGUGGUCAGAUUAUUCCAACUGCUAGGAGGGUUAUCUACGCAUCACAGCUUACAGCCAAGCCAAGGCUUCUGGAACCUGUUUACUUGGUGGAGAUCCAAGCCCCAGAGCAGGCACUUGGAGGUAUCUACAGUGUUCUUAACCAGAAACGUGGGCAUGUCUUUGAGGAGUUACAGAGGCCUGGUACCCCAUUGUACAACAUCAAGGCAUACCUACCGGUUAUUGAGUCCUUUGGAUUCUCAAGCACUUUGAGGGCUGCCACAUCAGGACAGGCCUUCCCACAAUGUGUGUUUGAUCAUUGGGAGAUGAUGUCUUCUGAUCCAAUGGAGGCUGGUACACAAGCAUCAACUCUCGUGGCGGAGAUUCGCAAGAGAAAGGGUUUGAAGGAGCAGAUGACUCCGCUAUCUGAGUUCGAGGACAAGCUGUAAUCAUUUGUUGAGUGAGUGUGAAGAUGAUACGACAAUGUUUUUGCUGCCUUUUUGUUUUUG